Molecule: ribosomal RNA, 1370 nt
Filed under: uncultured bacterium
Lineage: Bacteria
Description: bacterial SSU rRNA
Rfam family: Bacterial small subunit ribosomal RNA
Source: RNAcentral
AGAGUUUGAUCCUGGCUCAGGACGAACGCUGGCGGCGUGCCUAACACAUGCAAGUCGAACGGAGUUGAUUCUUCGGGAUUAACUUAGUGGCGAACGGGUGAGUAACGCGUGAGAAACCUGCCUUUCAGUGGGGGACAACAGUUGGAAACGACUGCUAAUACCGCAUAAUGUUAUUUGGGGGCAUCCCUGGAUAACCAAAGAUUUAUUGCUGAAAGAUGGUCUCGCGUCUGAUUAGCUAGUUGGUGAGGUAACGGCUCACCAAGGCGACGAUCAGUAGCCGGUCUGAGAGGAUGAACGGCCACAUUGGGACUGAGAUACGGCCCAGACUCCUACGGGAGGCAGCAGUGGGGAAUAUUGGGCAAUGGGGGAAACCCUGACCCAGCAACGCCGCGUGAAGGAAGAAGGCCUUCGGGUUGUAAACUUCUUUUACCAGGGACGAACACAAUGACGGUACCUGGAGAAAAAGCAACGGCUAACUACGUGCCAGCAGCCGCGGUAAUACGUAGGUUGCAAGCGUUGUCCGGAUUUACUGGGUGUAAAGGGCGUGUAGGCGGAGAUGCAAGUUGGGAGUGAAAUCCCGGGGCUCAACCCCGGAACUGCUUUCAAAACUGCAUCCCUUGAGUAUCGGAGAGGCAAGCGGAAUUCCUAGUGUAGCGGUGAAAUGCGUAGAUAUUAGGAGGAACACCAGUGGCGAAGGCGGCUUGCUGGACGACAACUGACGCUGAGGCGCGAAAGCGUGGGGAGCAAACAGGAUUAGAUACCCUGGUAGUCCACGCUGUAAACGAUGAUUACUAGGUGUGGGUGGACUGACCCCAUCUGUGCCGGAGUUAACACAAUAAGUAAUCCACCUGGGGAGUACGACCGCAAGGUUGAAACUCAAAGGAAUUGACGGGGGCCCGCACAAGCAGUGGAGUAUGUGGUUUAAUUCGACGCAACGCGAAGAACCUUACCAGGAUUUGACAUCCCGAGAACCCGACGUAAUGGUUGGGGUGCUCUUCGGAGAAUUCGGAGACAGGUGGUGCAUGGUUGUCGUCAGCUCGUGUCGUGAGAUGUUGGGUUAAGUCCCGCAACGAGCGCAACCCUUACGUUUAGUUGCUACGCAAGAGCACUCUAGACGGACUGCCGUUGACAAAACGGAGGAAGGCGGGGAUGACGUCAAAUCAUCAUGCCCCUUACAUUCUGGGCUACACACGUACUACAAUGGCGAAAACAAAGGGAAGCAAUACCGCGAGGUGGAGCAAACCCCAUAAAAGUCGUCCCAGUUCGGACUGCAGGCUGCAACCCGCCUGCACGAAGUUGGAAUUGCUAGUAAUCGCGGAUCAGCAUGCCGCGGUGAAUAUGUUCCCGGGCUUUGCACACACCGCCCGUCA